UCGAGAAUCUUCGGCAAUGGGGGCAACCCUGACCGAGCGACGCCGCGUGUGAGAUGAAGGCCUUCGGGUUGUAAAUCACUGUCAGUGGGGAGGAAGUGCUAGGGGGUUAUCCCCCUAGUUUGACCUAUCCGCAGAGGAAGGACGGGCUAAGUUCGUGCCAGCAGCCGCGGUAAGACGAACCGUCCAAACGUUAUUCGGAAUUACUGGGCUUAAAGGGUGCGUAGGCGGUCCGGCAAGUCGGGUGUGAAAGCCCUCAGCUCAACUGAGGAAUUGCGUCCGAAAAUGCCGGGCUUGAGGGAGAUAUAGGUGAGCGGAACUUAGGGUGGAGCGGUGAAAUUCGUUGAGAUCCUAAGGAACACCAGUAGCGAAAGCGGCUCACUGGGUCUCUUCUGACGCUGAUGCACGAAAGCUAGGGGAGCGAAGA
Molecule: ribosomal RNA, 424 nt
Filed under: uncultured prokaryote
Description: bacterial SSU rRNA
Rfam family: Bacterial small subunit ribosomal RNA
Source: RNAcentral